GUCCUUUUGGUAACAUCCGAUAAACUAGGAAUAUAAUACAAAGAAGAUUAGCAUAGACCCUGCGUAAGUAUAAUUUUUUUUUAAUUAUUUCCUCCUAUUUAU
Non-coding RNA from Nicotiana attenuata, 102 nucleotides. The record is from Rfam. NCBI's taxonomy places the organism in Eukaryota, Viridiplantae, Streptophyta, Magnoliopsida, Solanales, Solanaceae.